Molecule: non-coding RNA, 98 nt
Organism: Termitomyces sp. 'cryptogamus'
Lineage: Eukaryota; Fungi; Basidiomycota; Agaricomycetes; Agaricales; Lyophyllaceae
Source: the annotation of a GenBank genome assembly
GGGUCGACGGCGUAGUUAGUUAUCGCAUCUGUCUAACAUUGAUAUUCGCAAUGUUUCGCGUGCACAGAAGGUCCUCAGUUUGAACCUGGGUCGACUCG